RNA transcript from Salvelinus fontinalis (brook trout), 3684 nucleotides. RefSeq lists it as uncharacterized. The record is from RefSeq and is a predicted model, not a curated record. Lineage: Eukaryota; Metazoa; Chordata; Actinopteri; Salmoniformes; Salmonidae. The transcript is spliced from 3 exons.
AGCUAUAAACUGGAUAAAAGUGGGCCCCAAAAGUAUCCAUGAGGGGCCCCGAUAGAGCAGUUAGAGGAUGUUGACAGUUUGCCAUUGAUUUUGGUGCAUUGUUUUCUUUUGGUCAGGUUGCCUACCCCCCAGCCAGGUGAGGAGAUGGGACCGCCGGUCAUGGCGCCGACAGCUAGACAGCAGUGCCUCGGACUCCCCAGCAUCUGAUGGCAGUGUCAUGCUCAGCCCACUCUAUACCCACUCCCCCUUCCUCUCUCCCACAGCUACCAGCACUCCUCCCCACCCUGCUCUUCUUUCUAACACAUCUCCCAACAUCCCAAUAUUUUCCCCUUCCUUCUCUCUCAGUACGCCUUCUAGUUGUCCUAGCACGCCACUCUACCCCCACUCUUUCACCUCCAGUGCCCCUGGCACCCCAUUACGAAGUCAGGUGACAUCUUCCAGUGCCCCUGGCACCCCAUUACGAAGUCAGGUGAUAUCUUCCAGUGCCACUGGCACCCCAUUACGAAGUCAGGUGACAUCUUCCAGUGUUUCUGGCACCCCAGUACAAAGUCAGGUGGCAUCUUCCAGUGCCCCAAGCACCCCAGUACGCACCACGUUAUUCACCUCCAGUGCCCCUUGCACCCCACAACAUGGAACCCUUCACAGGGAGUCAUCGUUCCACACCAGGAGUAACAUCUCAGGAAGUAGGACUACAUGUUGUGGGCUGGAGAGCUGUCCACCAAUAGCUAAAGGGACAGUAACCAGUUACAACCCUGAAGACUCAGUAAACAGCCCUAAAGCUAGAUGCCAAGCGGACAACACUCCAUACCCAGACAUGUUCAAUAUUAAAGGAGAUACAGCGAAGAAAGAUGAUUCUGAGAUGAGAAGGAGCAGUGAAAUGAAGAAGACUUCAACACCAAAGGAAACGACUGAGAAAUGUUCUCCUGCCAGAGUUAAGACUUCCAUAUCAUCACAUGCCAGUCCCACUCUGAAAGAAUCUAAGAUUCCACAAGCUGACCCACGACUAGGAAAACCAAUGAAAUCAUCGGCCUCACCUGAUGUUUCUUCAACUGAGCUAGACCGUGGGACCCCCAUCCCAGGCAGUAAGCUAACACUCACCUCCAUCUUUUCCUACCCUUAUGAUGUACCACAGCUCAAAAGCAGUCCACUUAAAAGCCCCGAGAAGCCAUCUCCUCAAUCAACUACAGCACAUCAGAAGCACAAGUCUCAAGAUAAGACAAGUCCUAAGAAAAGUCCUAAAGCCAAGACCUCUGAUUCACCUAAAUUAACACCUUCACCUUCUUUGUCAGACAAGCAAACAGACAAAACUGAGGGUAAUUUCAAGAAACCAUCAAAACCUCAGAGUGUUGUUAGUAGUAAGGCAGACUCUUUAGUGUCACAACAUGUUCUAUCCACAAAAACUACAAAAAAAAGUGCUGUAGGGAGCCGGCCAACCAUCAAGACUUCUCCUUGUGACCCUAGUCUUAAAACUAAAGCUUUUGCAAACAAUGAUUGUGUGCCAAAACCAAAGGAGGAGAGUGGGAGGAAAGAGAGACCUCCCCUUCCUAGCCUUAGAAGAUUGAAGCAGGUAUUUACAGGCCUUUAUCAGCAGAGGCCUGUGGUGGCUAAACCCUCCAGCGAAUUGAAUGGGGUGCCGACUGACACACAUAGGCUGUUUAAGACCCCUUCAUCCAAGACCUCCUCCCCUAAGACCCGUUCCACCAAGACUCCCUCAUCCAAGACCACCUCCCCCAAGACACAUUCACUCAAAACCCCCUCUCCCAAGACCCGCUCCCCCAAGAAGCCUCAGACUAGAGUUCUUCACAGAUUCACCCAGGAUCCGAGGGUCCGAGAUCCGAUCCAGGAUCAGAGCCCAUCUAUGCAGCCCACCUCCAGCACCUCCAGCAACAACCCAGAAGGGAGACCUGCAGCCUCAACCUCAAUUCUGGGCAGGAGUUUAGAGCUAAAAAUUAGUCAAGGUUUCCAGAAACCAGACACACCCAGGCCAAAGAGCUAUUCCCCCAAGAGCAAAUCAACAGGGAUUUCACCGAACUAUAGGGGUACUGGUACUCCUUUCCGUGGAAGUGAGGGGAAUCUAACAACUACCCCCACUUCUAGGUGCCUGGCAAUCCCCCAUGACUGUCCAUCUCAGACCAGGAGUUCUCUGAGUAAAGCCUCAUAUUCUGCCAAACUACCAUGGGAGGGAAAGAGGGACAGAGAGAGAGAGAGGGACAGGGAGAGAGAGAGGGACAGGGAGAGAGAGAGGGACAGGGAGAGAGAGAGGGACAGGAAGAGAUGGGAGAGAGAGAGGGAGAGAUGGGAGAGGGAAAGGUGUCCACCCUCACCGAGACACCCUCACCCAGCACGGGGCCCAAUUCCACAGCCAAGCCGGGAGGAUCAUCCUAAAGAAUGCUUUAGAAAGAAAGACAAAACUACUACAGGACAGGAGGACUUUAGAACCAAAGUCAAAAUACCAUGGGCACCAACUCAAAAACCCUCUACCAGUCACAAGAGUUGGCCAAAUGUACCCUCACCCUGCCAGAAUCCUCCACCUGCGAGAAAUGGCCCCCAGUCAUACUCCAAAAAUAUCAAAGGCACGCACUCAGCCUCAGCUCAGACUAAAUGUAAGUUAAUAUGGAUUCAGUACGUGAAAGAGUAUACUUUUGUUGCUAUGUAAUAGUAGUCAUUCUACAAAACCUGGUGUGUGAUGGGUGGAGACAUGGGUAGAAGUGAGUGUGUAUGUGUUCAUUUUGAAUAGCUGCUUAUCUAUCUUUCUGUUCUCUGUUCUCUCCAUACUGUAGCUAAAGUACCAGGGACAGACUCUCAGGACAUCAGAUCCCCCCCUACAACACAGAAGGUCCCUCAGGAAUCAGUGUCCUCUUCCCUGUCCCCCCGCUCCAGACCCGGCCCCAGCAGUCCGGAGCUUAUCCAUGCCAUUGUGAGUGCCAUGGGCUAUCUGCUUGGUGUGCCACCCACCUCCAUCCCUGGCCUCUGCCCUUCACCUGAAGACCCUGGUACAUCCUCCACCACUGACCCAUCAGCUUUUAGCUCAGACCCCAGCCAGCCCCCCUGGACUGAAGAACUACGACUCAUCCGGCAAAGACUCAGUGAGCCUGGCCUAGGGCUCAACCCCCUGCCUCCCGACCACACCCAACCAGCCUCCAGACCAAAGGACACACACACAGGACAGAGGGAAGAGAGGCCUGCACAAUCAAUGGCACCAUCACUGAGAAAGAAUACAAAGAUGUGAUAGGAGUUGGGAUGAAGAUGAGGAUACUGUAGCAUGCUACACUGCAGAGCUGCAAGGAGUCAGAGAGCAGCUGUUCAGACAGGACUUGGCUGACUGACUGGUAGAAACAGAAGAUGUUCACGUUAACAGGCUGAACAUCUGCUCGUACACCUGGGUUGUGUUUCUAACUCUUUCUCUGGAUAGAAUUAUCUCAAAUACUUUAUGUACAUAUUCAUUUGCUGUAAGUACUGGCAGUUUAGCUCUUUGAAUUGAGGAUUUCAAUGCUUGUGAUACUGGUUUAAUUUUAGAUGGAUUUGAUCUUGCUUUCAUUUUGACAAGCAGUUAGCUGAAAAAUACAGGACGCUGGGCAUGCUGAAGGUUGCACAUGUGACCACAGGAGGGCAGUCUCAUGCCAACCUAAUGCAAAUCCUAGUCAUAAUGAAGGGAGAAAUUAAAUAUAAUGUACAGAUUAUCAA